CGCGGGGUGGAGCAGUGGUAGCUCGUCAGGCUCAUAACCUGAAGGCCGUACGUUCGAAUCGUGCCCCCGCAACCA
RNAcentral lists this transfer RNA (75 nucleotides) under Candidatus Dojkabacteria bacterium. Its description in RNAcentral is "tRNA-Met". It matches the Rfam family "tRNA". Rfam says of the family: Transfer RNA (tRNA) molecules are approximately 80 nucleotides in length. Their secondary structure includes four short double-helical elements and three loops (D, anti-codon, and T loops). Further hydrogen bonds mediate the characteristic L-shaped molecular structure. tRNAs have two regions of fundamental functional importance: the anti-codon, which is responsible for specific mRNA codon recognition, and the 3' end, to which the tRNAs corresponding amino acid is attached (by aminoacyl-tRNA synthetases). tRNAs cope with the degeneracy of the genetic code in two manners: having more than one tRNA (with a specific anti-codon) for a particular amino acid; and 'wobble' base-pairing, i.e. permitting non-standard base-pairing at the 3rd anti-codon position. The record is from RNAcentral.